GUGUCAGCAGCCGCGGUAAUACAGAGGUGGCAAGCGUUGCUCGGUAUCACUGGGCUUAAAGGGCGCGUAGGCGGUGCGGUACGGUUUCGGUGAAAUCCCUCGGCCCAACCGAGGAACAGCCGGAGCUACGGCCGCACUAGACGGCAUCAGGGGACAGUGGAACUUCCGGUGGAGCGGUGAAAUGCGUAGAUAUCGGAAGGAACGCCGGUGGCGAAAGCGACUGUCUGGGGUGCCUGUGACGCUGAGGCGCGAAAGCCAGGGGAUCAAACGGGAUUAGAUACCCUGGUAGUCC
Molecule: ribosomal RNA, 292 nt
Filed under: uncultured bacterium
Lineage: Bacteria
Description: partial 16S ribosomal RNA
Rfam family: Bacterial small subunit ribosomal RNA
Source: RNAcentral